This is a long non-coding RNA of Phodopus roborovskii (desert hamster), 425 nucleotides long. RefSeq lists it as uncharacterized. The record is from RefSeq and is a predicted model, not a curated record. Lineage: Eukaryota; Metazoa; Chordata; Mammalia; Rodentia; Cricetidae. The transcript has 2 exons.
UCUAUAAGAGGAAGAGGGUGCAGGCUCUCCAGCCACAGCCCGCAAAAUUCCACCUGCUCACAGGUUGGCUGGCUUAACCCAGGUGGUGCCUCCUGCUCUGAGCCAGCUUCCGGCCAAGACAGCACCAUGGCCAGGAUACCGCUGCCGCAGCAAAAGUAGGAGCAGAUGCCGCCGCCGCAGGCGAAGAUGUCGCAGACGGAGGAGGCGAUGCUGCAGGAGGAGGCGAAGGUGCUGCCGCCGCCGCCGCACAUACACCCUAAGGUGUAAAAGAUACUAGAUGCAUAGCAAGUCCAUCACAACUCCUGCCUGAAAAUUUUACCAGACUUCAAGAGCCUCUCGCCACAUCUUGAAAAGUGCCACCGUCCGAUGAAAAACAGGAGCCUGCUAAGGAACAAUGCCACCUGUCAAUAAAUGUUGAAAACUCA